UCUUUCUUUUUCUUUCUUUCUUUCUUCUUACUCUGCAGGUCUCCCGGGGUACUCAGAGUUUGACCUCUGUGGAUUCUCACACCCUGGCUGGAGCUGCAGGAAAAUCAACUCUUGAAUAGCACAUAAUUUCUUACUGAUAUUUUGUGCGUCAUUUUGUUACUGUGUUUAUGCAGUUGUUGCUUGCAAACAGCACGUUGUGACUUUGGCUUCAUCUCCUCUCCCCUCUCCUCCUCUCCACCCCAUUCUUGCCCUCUUGUCUUUCUUUGGUCCUAGUUUUGUCAUGAUCUAGACAGACUGGAGACUUCUAGGCUCCGGAAGACCUGCAUUUCUAAAGUAAGAAAACAAGUGGAAAAACGCUUAAUCUUUUUCCAUUGGACUGAAACCCUACAGGCUCCUUAAUCUAUUACAAAGUCACAUAAAGGGCAUAGGCGGCAUUUCUCUUUUUUUGGCAGUCAUCUUUAAGGGGGGUGAAGGGAGGAGCAAAGACAAUUCAGUUGAUAAACCAAGAAACCAAGAGAUAGGAUUCCUGAUUUCUGCUCUUGGAAAUCUUUUGCCCUGUGUUGGCUGUCUCACUCAGAGCUUGUAAUUUUUUUUUUUUUUGUCAAAGUUUACCUAGCUGUUAAAGAAUAGCUGUUGCACUUGCCUGCAGGAGGUGAUUAUGGAAAGGGUAACAUUUCCCUUAACGGCUGAGCUGCAGUCGAUUUAAUUUGCAGUUUGUUAUGAAAUGGUAGGUAUUGUUUUACCUCUCUUCAUCCCCAGGCUGGGAGAACGGGCACAGAGAGUUCCAGAGAUAAAUGGUGAGCUAAAUAAUUACAGGCCUAGCUCCCAGGGAUGGUUUGAGGAUUAAUGGCUGUUUGUACAGCACUUCAAGAUCCUUAGCUGAAAUCUGCUUUGAACUCUGGAGCAUUUCAGGCUACAGGUGAUGGGUACCCCCAGGCUCUGGCAGAGGGCAGUACUCAGAGUAAAUCAGGUCUUUGGAGGCAGACAUGCAGCUCCAGGGAUGUGGCUGGCCAGGCUCACAGGGGAGGUAGAUUUUACAUCUGCAAAGCACUCCUAUGUGGAAUGGGAAGGUGACAGGGAGGACCUGUCCCUUCAGAUUCAUUUCUUUUAAGAAGAUGAGGCUGCUUGAAAGAAAGACUAGAGGAAAAACACAUCCUGUGAAUGCUUCUCUAGCUAUCUUUCUGAUCUUUCUACUGAUUAGCAGUGUUCCAGCUGCUAAGAAGAAGUCAGUGCUACACUGUCAUGGAUAUAAGAAGCAAACAGCUUGAGUUGCCUUCUGAUGCCAGCCAGAGCUUCCUUGGUCUUUUCUCCUCAGGACCCCAUGGGUGACCUUCAGAGGUUUGCAUUAAGCCAGAACACUGCAUUUCAAGUCUUUGGGGCUAUUAGUCCAUGAAUGACCAUAACUUCUUUAGGCUGGAACAUUUUCUGUCAUUAUCACAAAUGAGGAAACUUUUCUGUCGGGUGCCUGCAAAGUGUUGGAGUGCCAGCCUGGCUUUUACAGCCCUAGAAGGAAGUGCUGAGAGCAUUGCUUUCUAAUCUUGCAGCGGAGAUUUUCAAAGGGGAGGCUGUACUGUGGGAAGCAGUGUAAGAUUAAAAUGGAUCCAGUCAGCUUGUGCUUGUUUGACCACAGAAUCAAGGGCCAGACACUUGGGGAAAGUUCUCCCUAUCCUAUGGGAGGAGCACAUGCAUUUGGGAAGCUCCUUGAGUGCAGCAGCCACUGAAGGUGCAGGAGGGAAGAAUCUCUCCCUGGGUCUCAGGAGUCCCUCAGGGUGGUUCAGGGAGUUCAUGGUCCUCAGCAGCAGCUGGUGGUGCUAUGUGACAAGGCUCUCAUGGCACCGAGGUACAGGGACUGUCAGGGGACCGACUGUGUCCCUGCAGUGACCAUGCAAGGGCAGGAAAUGGGGCAGGACAUGUCACAGCUGGGGAGUCUGCACUGAACAGAUGCAAUGAGUCCAUCCCAAAUCCUUUGCUACUCAUCUCGUAAUGUGGGAGAAGGGAGAACAGCUUAUCCUAUGUAGUCAGGGACCUCACCAGUGUCAUUAUUGGCCAUUUAGUUGUGGGGAAUAUGCUGGGGGACAGAUAUGUCAUAUGAUCUUUGUCAACCCUUUUUUUUUUUCCCCUCUGUUAUGAAACAUUGAGUCCUGGUUUCAGGCAAUGCAGAUAGAAGUGUCCAUUCCCACCACUCCUGCCUCUGCAGAGCAGCACACUGGAGAGGAAUGAAGGGCCGUGGGAAUACUAAGCGUUAUUUUAUUAUGGAGACAGUGGGAGGACGGAGCAGGAACACAAGGGAAACACUAUGAGAGAUGUCUCAACUCCAAAGCAGGGGCAGAAGUCAGAGGUGAAUUAGCAGCCAAGAGCAGCCAAGAUCCCAGCUCCUCAACUGCUCGUACCGGUGGGAGAAACUAUGCUGAAAGCCAAGGCUCUUUCCAAUGCGCCAGGAGUGCAGCACAAGCCCCACAGACAGUAUACGAAAAUAUGAACCAUACCAUAUCUAUAGGAACUUCUUUUAUUAGAGACAUGAGUACUGACUACCUUCUCUGCAUAUUCUCUGAAGGGAACAGACUGGCUUUGUAAGGGAGAGACAGAUGAGGACAAACUGUACUUGGAUAAAAGAACAACUGGAAAUAUGCUGUGCAUGAGGAGGAUCUGUCAGAAACUGAGCACUUUCCAAAGCCUGAGAACUCCUACCAGUGGCAACUUCUGUCAUCAACCCUGAUGGUAAACAUCCCAUGGGCUGCCAGGGCAGGGAAUGUCUCCAGACCUGCCUGAGGGCUUUCCCAGUCCAGCUGCUGCAGCAGCCUCCUCUCCCAAGUUUCUGAAGCACCGUCUGGAUGCAACAAGAGGAUCUUUAAACUCCUGUUUGCCACAUCUUCAGCCCUUCCCCCCGCUAUGAAGCAUGUCUUUGAGUGAGUUUUUCAGCAGGUGACAAUCUCCUUUUUAGCAUUCCAGGGAAGACAUGGCAACUGCUGAGGUGUAAUAGCAGACUUUGAACAUCCUCAAGGUUUUUGAACUUGUAUUGUCCUCUUGACACCCAUGACUUGAAUAUAGUCUGGAACUGAUUAACUUGGCUGCUUCAGUCUCUGGAAGGGAAUGUUCUUUACGCAGUUAAAUAUUUACUUAUCAAUGUGCAUGGACCAGGCAAUACAGAAGCCUGAGCAACAUUUGCAUUUUCUCCCCAUAAACUGAAAAAGGAGCAUCCUUCAUUAUUUCAGUGCUGCCACUUCCGUUUAUCAUGGUAGUCCAGUCAUGUCCUGUUCAACCUAGCUGUCUUAUUAGCUUCAGCACCAUUCCUAAACCAUGAGAUAUGUAGCCCACACCAUGGGGAGCCCUCAUUGCAUAUCCAAAAUAUUCCUUGGUUCCAAAGUACAUCCUCAGAGAACAACAUGAAUCCUAUUUCUGAAAAUUGUGGGUCUCUAGCACUUGCAAGCACCUUUGUAUGACAUGGCUUGGGGAGAGGUUGAGCUCUCCCCUACCCAGUUUUCCACUGGCAGAAGGACUUUUACAAUAGAAACUAUUUCUAUCUUAGGCAGCACCACAAUGAAGUGGUAAAAAUGGGAAAAUCUGAAGCAUUGGUAGAGGCUUUUAGAAAUACUGGGGUAUUCCCAUCUUCCUUCCAGUUCCUACCUGCUGUAAAUGCUGGGGUGGGUAGCUCUGGCACGCCAGUAUACCCAAGAGGAGCAUAACACCCCUUUCUGCUGCUGCCCAGUGUCAGACUGCUCCAUCCUGACCAUGGCAGGGCAGAGAGAGCUCUUUCCCAGCCCCAGGGCUGGGUCUGGCUCCCAGGAUACCAGCAGGUGGGCUCUGCUGGAUCUGUGCAGGGAGUGAGGAGAAGCUGGGAAGUGUUUUUGCUCUGUUCAGGGCUGAGAAAACAGAGCAGCUUCUGCCUGGGAAUAGGUGCAGUCCGUGACUACCCUGGUGAUGCAAUGACGUCCCUGUUGCUCCUCCUGGCAGGGGGAGUCUCCUGUUUCCUCUGGCUCAGGCAGAGACUCUUUUUUUUUUUUUUUUUUUUUUUUUUUUUCCCCACCCCCUUGGCACCCAACAGUUAGCUUACCAUUUCAGUCACCAGUGACAGCAACCAAAAAAUAAUACUACUGUACUCAGUUAAUCCAUAGGAAAAUCCCACAUCGGCACACAAAAGGUGGAGACGGUGCUCGCACAUUUUCCCCCAAGGGCCUUAGGCAAUGGAAAUUUUCUCAAGCUCCAUUCAUUAACAGAAUAGAUGAACAGUUAUGUAAGGUCACAUGUGGGAAGUGGUUGGUCUUUGGUCAAUGAAAGAGUUAGUCACACAUCAUUGAGCUGGAUGGCCCUGGGAGGAAUUGUGGAGCCACCCUUUGCAUGUUCAAGGACUGAAGAGGGAGAACUUUAGCUAUAAUUCCUCACUAUGCCCUGAGUUGGUAACCACCUUUACAGACCUGGCGUUGCAGGAGGCAUAUGGUGCUGGUAAGCAAAAAAGCAGGGAGUUGAGGUCUGUUGAGAUCCUCCAAACUUUCCUCUUCCCAGAUCACUCAACCCUCCUCUGAAGGAAUUAAGCAACCACCUGAUGAUCUUGGGGUGCCAAUGUGCAGUUGUGCAUCCUCCCAGCCAGCCUGUUCUUGAGGUACUCAGAGGGUAGUAAAAGAACAUGAUACAAUUCAGCAGUCACAGCACAUAAAAUCUGUAUGAGGGCUCUCAGGAACCACUAGAGCAUUACUAGGACAUUCAGCUGGAGGAGGAUUUUUAAGGAUCUCUUCUGUCCAUUACCGAAGUGGUUUGGAAUUUUCUCUCCCUCUUUGAACCAAGGAUGAUGCCAUCAUACAGAAUUCCCAUGGGACUGACUGCAGGAGAGAAGUAGGGCACUGACUGGCAUCCACACUUUAGUACCCAGUUAACAUGGUCUGCCACAAUAUUCUCCCACUUCUCACCAUCUCUCAUCCUUGUCCCAGGCAGCCCAGCUGAAAGUCCUCCAGUCCUCUGAAUUUGGGUUACCUUGGCCCUUGGCUCUUCUUAGCUGCUGCUUUGGGGCUUGCAGGUAUGACUUUUAGACAAGGAUGUCUUGCAGACAAAUCAAACCAGCUUUGUUUGCUCAUUUGCUCUAAUCCCUGGAUGUUGAGUGACCAGCUUCAACCUGCUAGUGUACUUUCACCUUGCAGCCAAUCUCUUGAAGGUCAUUUCAGACCACUGGAGAGGCAGGGUGACAAAGCUUGGCUGGCAGCCUCCACAGGACACGGAGCAGCAGUCACCUGGCACCAGCUAUCAGCAGGACCCACGGCCUGAUGAGUGCAGAGGGCAGAGGAGGCCUGCAAAGGAAACUCGUGUUGGGCAGGUGGGAAGAGUGUGGGUGUCAGGUUGUACCUGAACCAUGAUCUGGUGCCUGAGGGCUGAUAAUAAGCUGUAAUUGUGUAAACCAAAGUGCCUCCCACAUUUGCUGGUCUGCCCCAAGUGCUGAGGUUGUGAAUCCCUGCGAGGAGGACACCUUAACCCAUCUGGGAGGGGCUGCGGCGUAGAUCCGGCCCCCAGUAAAAGCCCAGCUGUCUCCCUGAGCAGGUGGUUUCCAGGAAGAGCCACAUUCCUGUCUGUGAGGAGCUGUAAGGACCAUGUAUGGGAUAUGCCUUAAAAUAGACAGAGAUAUAGGAACAGAAUUCAGGUCCCAGGCAAUGUGGACUCAAUGGCAUCUCAAGCGUUUGAUCAGGAAGGGAAGUGCUGCUAAAACUACAGCUGUCUCAGCCUUGACUGCAAGUGUCUCUGAUAACCUUAGGAUUGUUUUCACUCAAGGAAAGGAUUUUUUUUUUCAGCCAAAUUCCAUUCUACUUUAUUGUUUUCUGCUUUUCUAAAAGCCGAGCUGAGCAAGAAAUAGAUUUCCCCUUCCCCAAAGGAUUGAGAUAUUGUGGAAAGAGGUCUAUCUCAUAUUUGGAUAAAAAUUUAAUAUCUCUAACCUUUUCAAAUAAUUGAUAUUUUGCUAGGGGAAAGGAAGUCCUUUUUGAAAUGUUUUAUUUCAGUAACCUUAAAACGGUCUUUUUUAGAACUAUUUUACAAUUUCUAGCCUUCUGUUUUUUAACAACUAAGUAUUGUAUAUCUGUAGUGAAUUUUUUUUCUUGAAGAAAAUGUCUAAAUGUUAUGAUACCUAGAAAAGGGAUUCCCUCAGCAGUAUUGCAAGCUGAUAAGUUUUUUGAAAACAUUUUUUCUCCAAAAAUGAUCUGGUUCUGAGGAACCGGCAAUAAAUUUGAGAAAAGUUUGGUGUAAAGUUUCCAGCACAUUCUCCUGAAGCAUGUAUCUUUUCACUGUAAAGCAUUUCCUGGCCAUUUGCAAGCCAAGCAGUGAUGGGUUGAAAGACAGAGCUUCUUGAUGGCAUCUGGAAAAUGGAGUGAGAUGAAUUUUGGCUUCCAUUCACUCUUGCUGCAUAAUUUGGCUUUGCUCUUUGAAAUAGUUGCUGUAUGUUCACCACUGAAAACAUUCACUGCAGUGUCAGUUGUUUUGGUAAAACCCUCUGAGCCUGCAGAGUUCUAAGAGCUGUUGGGACAGCACACUUCAGGUAAGAAGACCCCAGAACUGCUCAGGGCACGUCAUGAGCGAGCAGGAGGAGAAGUGGGUUUUUCCUUAUUGCCCACCUGCUGCUUUGCUCUCUGGCUGGCACAGCCUUGCAGCAUCUGCUGGGAACGCGUGGCACCCGGAGACCGUGUGAGUUAAUUAUUAAACAAAAUGGAGUCAUUAUGCCCUGUGCCACUGCUGUUCCUCACAUAAAUCUGCUGCACAGUAGAAAAACGAUCCCGUGCAAUGAGAACAAAGAAACCUUUUCAGGAUGAGCACAUUUUCCUCUGCUGGAGAGCUGCUCUCACUUCACCUCCCUGGAAGAGUGAUGCAUUUGGUCUCCAUACAGGUGGGGGGCUUUGGAAAGACAGAUGAAAGCGAUACAGAGCCCCAGGGCACUGAUUUCCAUGAAUAAUCUCCCCAGCUGUUAGCCUAGGUCUGAAGCCAUUUCCUUUCAGAAAAUACAUUGCUACUAGCCACAUUUCAGGGUCCGGAAGGAAAUAUUUACAUGUUACCUUUGGCAUUUCAAGGCUAGCACAAUUUCCACUGAGCUUCCCUUGAACUUCUAGAUAAAAUAUUAACUCCUGGACGAGGUGCAGAGAACCUGGCAGGCUGUCAACCAGCAACACAAUUAAGGACACAGUCUCUGAUGAGAUAGCAUCCAGUACUUUAAAAAGCAUCUGCCAUUAGUUUCACUGUGAUUAGUUUGACUGACACACAGGAGAAAAUGAAGACUUACAGGUGAGAGUCCCAGAUGCCAGCCAUCCAGGGAAGGGUCCCCUUAACUGAAACAGCUGGUCAUCUCAGCUCUGGGAAGGGAUGAAAGAGAGCUAGUCUGGUUUCUCUGCUGUGAAGCCUUUCUGAAGUGUUUUCUCUCACACAGAGGGGAAAGGGUCUCUCCUCUGUGGCUGCUCAGCCUGGCAGACAUGGGAGGCUCUUGAGGGGCAUGUGUUGUGGUAAAAAGGGUGCAUGGGCUGAGACCCCAGCAGAUGGGGAUCCACCGGCUGCAGGAGGGCCCUGGCUGAGGGGUAGGAGCUGAGAUACUGGCAGGGGAUAGGUCAGGCCAUGGGACUCGGGUGUAUCCUCGAUGUUUGGCUUGUGUCUAUAGUGUCCAGGUACCAUGUAGACACAGAUACCCAAGAGUCUGCCUUUCACCACUCAGCAUAGUGGCCCUGUGGAGGCAGGGCACUGUGGCUGGAAGUAAAUAGAUGGGCAACAGUGGCUGUUUCUCUGGGGAUCUGAUUCCUGACGAUCUGUGCUCCAAGCACUCCUGCAGGCAGCCUGCGUAUUUGAGGCAGGCAUUUUGCUGUCCCUGCCUUUGCUGGCCAGUGCCAAGCUGAGUUGGUCCUUUGCUGCCCUCUCAAAGAGGGCACAGGUUUUGGAAGGAGUCCCUCCGCUUUACCACAUACUGUAAUAGCAGGGAAAGAGAAACAUAGAGGUCAUGUGGCCUAGGAAAGCCAAAAAGCAAAGGGACUGGCAGGGCUGGCCGUGGCAGCCAGGACUCCUGCCUCCUGGGAGGCAGGCACUGGCUUGUAACACUACUUCUCUAAUGUUAUUUAAAGGGACAACACAGAGCACACUCCUGCCCCUGCUGGGCUCAGUCAGUUGUGUUUGUGGUGCCCCUUGCUUUUCUUCAAGAGUUUACCUUGGCUCUUUCCCUACUGCUUCACUGGCACGCUGUGAAAGGACUGCAGUGACCCUUGUCCCCUGGAUGCAGAAGGAGUCCCUGGAAAAGACUGAGGAGUCAAGAAACAUGAAUGCUCCAAGGCUGGCUAGCUGUGUUUUGCAGGCCUGCUGAUGCCCAGCCGUAGCUGGAUGUGAGGCAUGUGAUGAGGGCCUGUCCCCCCUUCUGUCAUGUGUCACACAGCACAGCAGGGCUGCGCUGUGUCACCUCCCUCACCCGUGACCCCACGGGCUGCACACACCUCUGCCUGCCCUGUAACCUCUUGGCUGGGGUGUUGGCCUUUGUCCCCUGUGUGCUGCUUGGUAUCUCUGCAUUCCUGGCGUUUCUCUUUCACAAGGCACCUGCUCACACCUCCAGAAUCACCCAGGCAAACUCUGCCUUUGCUUCAGGGGUGCGGGUGCUGUGUCAGAGGUCUGUAGUAACCUGCAAAGAAAGUUCAGCAGGCUAAGGGAAAGGAAAGCUGGUGACUAAAGGACACCUGGCACUCCAGGGCUGUGGGGUCCAUUUUCUCACCGGCUCUCCUUCACUCUGCUCCCCGCCCUCUCCUCCAGACAGCGUCACAGGGAGGUGGUAUGAAGGGGCCCAUAUCUGCAAAGAUUGGGGAAAGCCUGGACAUGAAUAAAAGGCACAGCUUUGGCCUGAAGUCUGGCCUCCUUUACUGCACUCUUUCAUUCCUUCCUGAAGCAAGUAAGGGCAAAUCCUUCCACAGGGAGAGGGGCAAAGCCCACCUCCCUGCCUGUGCUCUGAGUUGGCUGCAUGUGAAAUAGCUCCAGUUCAGGGGACACACAGCUGCAAAAGACCUGAGACCGAUUUGAAACCUAUCUCUUGGUAUUUGUAGUCCACCUGCUUUCCACUUCUGUAUGUUUACUGCUGGCAUGAGUCAUACAACAGCUUUCCCCUCUUUUUCCUCUCUGCCUCUCUGAGCAUGUUCAGAGGCCAUGUGUCAUCAACUGGCUCUGGACAAGAGCUAACUGCAAAAUGUGUUAAAUGAAUGUUAGUCCUCUAUUUCCAAAAUUGGCCGACUCAGGGAGCUGCAAGCACACAGAGCAAAAUCCUCUCUAGUACCUUCUCCAUUGGGAUUUCUUGAGAGCUCACAUGACUGAAGAUAUGAGGGCAAUCUGGUGGUCCUCAGGGCUUUCUGUACCAGUUCCCAGUGAGCCCCUGAGCUGUGUCUGUCCCCUGCCUCCCUGCUUGUUAGUCUUGGUCUAAUCUUUGCAGAGGAACAGGCACCCCUCUGUAACCAGGCAUCCUGUUUUGCCUGCCUAGAACCAGAACCUUGAAGCUCAGUGCUUUGUGGACUCUCAGCAUCUCCACUACAUCAUGGCCAAUAGACAUGCAAGCAGCUUCCCAGAGCAGCUGUGUAAAAUAUUCAGCAUCCUAGCAGGAGCAGGGUAUCUCCAGUACGUGUCACAUCACUUAGGUUCAGCUUGGCUCUAUAACAUUGUUUACAGGUGGAUUAUUUUUAAGUAGAAAUGCAAAUGAACCUAGUUCAUGGAUAGGUUCAAGUUAUAAAGAAAAUACACAAAGGUCAUGCAGAAUUACGAUUACUCUCUGCAGAAAGAAGUUCCUUCAGUGCUCAGUAUCUUGGCUAACUCAUGAGGCUGAUUUGUCUGUGGCCUAAAUCAGGACUAAAGUGCUGAGAAAAGUCCUAGAACUUUAUCUUUCCUGCCUCUGGUGAUAAAGGCAAGGGAGGAGAUAGCAGGAUAUGGAAUCUGGGCAGUUAGCACCUUCCUUCUCCUAAAAGGGACUGGACCAGUCUUCUUUACUUUCCCUCUGUAAUCCUUAGCUUCCUUAGCCACUGUGGUGGGAAAACACAUGGAAUUAAGUAAUUUUGUCUUCCCUCCUUCCCAAAGAACUUUUAUUUAUUGUUUCUACUUUACACCUUGAUUUCAGGAUGUUAUCCUAGAUUCGGAUUUUAAGUGUUUUCCCAUGCCUGCAGCCUCCCUGUUACCAUACAAGCCAGAGAUUAGGAGAUAAUGCAUCACAGCAGGAGAUCUGGCACAGCGUUCGUCUUUUUUCCUCUACUUGGAAAGAACAGGGACAAAUAUUAGUUUGAGAUGAAAGAACAUGUCUUCACUUUGUUGGGAACGGGGCACUGAUAAUGGCUCUGCCUCACAUGCUUGGCUAGCCUUGUGCCAUACCGUGGGAGGCUGCCAAACUCGGGUUCAGCUGAUCCCUUGCUAUCUGCAAGGGAGGGCAGAGCCAAUGCCCACUCAACGGGACUUUGUCCUCCCGAUGGCAGGCAGCUUAGGAAACGUCAGCCUUUGCGUGUGCUGGCAGGGCAGGAAGGCUCUGGCCUGCACAAUAGCGGCGUUCUCCAUGGGCUCAGCUGGAAGAGGCUCACACAGAGUUUAACCUGUGCUUGGAGCACUUUUCAGCAGGAUCCCAUCAGUUAUUGGCAGAGCCUGAGGCAACGGCUUCGGGCUGGAUGCACUUUCCCCAGCAUGAGCAUGAACAAUGGUGUGUGCAUGCACAUGUAUGAGCCUGCACGUGUACACGUGUUCUGUACAUGUAGGCUAAAACCCACAGGCUUUCAGAGCCCUUGGCAAUCAGCCAGCACAUUUCAUUUCACUGUUCUUUGAAUGGGUCACUGGGGAGGGCUGGCCUUGUCUGACCACGCCAUCCAGACACUGUGCCUUGGGCUGCUGCUGUCGCAGGGCUCUCUUGUUGCUGCCACAGACCUGUUUGCAGGGAGCACCUCUUUGCCAAUGCCAUUAAUUCUUUCCUGUUCAGAGAUGCUUUCAAACUGUGAGAAAAUACUGUUCUGGCUUCUGUAAUCCUUUCAAAGGGUGAGUUAACUGUUCCCUUGAUGCCUUCAUGUUUGGAUCUGCUGCAGGCAGGACUGGGUGCAUCUUCUGAGCACAAGUUGGCCCCAUGGCUAUUUAUAAGUAAGGGUUAAUAAGGAAGUGGGGCUCUGAAGAGUUUUGUCUUUUUCCUUACAAGGUCUGAGCUGGGACACCCACCUCUGAGCUUCAUUUGCACUAGCUGCUUGCAGAGGGAGUUCUGCCUUCAGCCUGAUUUGAGGAUGCUUGGGAGAGCUCUCUCUGGCUAGUAGGAAAGUAAUUCAUUGGCGUGACUGUGGUUUCCCAAGCAAUCUGCUCUUUUGUUGGAAAUAAAACUAGCUGACACAGGCGAGGGGAAAUGUUUGUUCAGUUUGAGAUCAGAGGCUCUUGUUUUGAAAGCUCAGUUUUAUCCUCAGUCCCAACUUCUCUCCAUACACCAUUAAUCACUUGUCUGGGAACAGAGAGUUUGAACUGUCUCCAGAGCUACACAAGCAGAUUUGGUGGCUGUCAGUAGUACUCUGUAAAUAAGUACCAGCAGGCAACUGUGUAAGUAAACAACUUCUUUGGGAGCACCGGUGCCUUUCUCCACAGUUUACGUAGUGCAGCGGAAGGGCUCUGUUAGCUUUUGCAGGGACAGCCUAAGCACCACACACCAGACAGGGACAAUCUGCAACUUCCAACUGACAGAUUCACCACCAGCUUCCCUGCAGCUCAGAAAGAGCAGGAUUUGUAUCAGGAAGCCGGGAAACCAGCUGUGUGGCAGAGGCAGCUGUGCCAUGACAUCAUCUUUGUCCCUCGGAGUGUAUGUGUUUCAACACAGGCUUUAAUUACACAAGUGUGAACUCACCUUACCUACGGGGCCAGCAUUCUUACAAAAUGGGUUGUGCCUGCCCGAGGAAAGGCAUGGUUUUAGGAUGAAUGAGUGGAGACAAAUUCUAUUUUAAUAGAAUAGGCAGGCUUCUACAGAAAGGCAUUCUGGUGCAACUGAGAGUAAUAUAUGUUCUGAGACCUUGACAACCCUUUAAAGUAUUCCCCCUAGAAAAUAUUUUAAUGGAAUAUUUCAGAAUUUCUUUUGUACAUACAUGUGUGGUUGAAAUGUAGAGAAAAUGAAUAUAUUUUCCCUUAAAAGUGUUCAUUUCCAUUAAAAGGCUAUUUUUCUGCCUAGUAA
Molecule: long non-coding RNA, 12139 nt
Organism: Prinia subflava (tawny-flanked prinia)
Lineage: Eukaryota; Metazoa; Chordata; Aves; Passeriformes; Cisticolidae
Exons: 2
Source: RefSeq, a predicted model, not a curated record